CCUAGAUCCCUGUGCUCAAGAGCACCUUUCCAAGCCAGUUAGCAAUACAUGCUUAUUGCUGCCUUCCUGCAUGUGGGCAGCUGCCAGCAGGAGGGAGGCUGAAGCAGCUCCUCUCCCUCACAGCGAUCACGGGGGAGCUCAGUGUGGCACCACCCCUGCUCCCCGAGAUGCCCUGCGCAAUGGCUGUUGCCAGCAGCCCUGCUUUUGUUUUCCAGCCUUCCUUUCUCAGAAAUGUUUUCAUCCCAACUGAGCUUUGAAACUGGCAUCCUGCGGCUGCGCGUUUCCUCCUGCACCCACAACCAAAGUCCUGGCCCCAGGAGCAGCUGCCCUGGUCCCUGCAGGCUGACAGCUUCUGGCUGCUUCGGUGGAGGGCAGCACCAACAUGGGGGCUCCCUGGCGCUUUGCCAUCCCAAAGCUGGAUGGCUAAGGUGGCUCAAGUCUUACAGGGCCACAGUCAUCAGAUUGACCAGCGUUUCUCAGAUUUACCUGAAAAGCAGACAGGACGACAGCCUUCAAACCAAUGUUACCAUUCACCAGCCUGGGGAGGGUUGUUGGUAAACGUGCCCCAUCCACUCGCACGCAGAAGACCUGUUGCUGAAGAGCGCUCAAGAGUCACCUCCUCCUCCUACAGAAGACGGUCCCCAUCUGGGCUCCCUUUCGUCCUCCUCUGACUCUCAACAACAGCAGAGCCUGACAAGCAAACAUGCUGCUGCUGGCAGCACUUGUGGCCACAGCCUCCUGGUCUUAUGGAUUUGCACAAAUAUAUCCUGUGCAGAGCCCUAUAUCCGUUACCAAAUCCCAAAGAAGUGCAAGAAUGACAUGUGAAAUCAAAAUUUCGCAGGAAAUGUUUGAAAGCUUAUCCAUACACUGGUAUCGACAGAAAGAGGGUAGAGCUCCAGAGAGGGUCCUGCACUUCUCAGAAGGGAAACUUGUAGUUGAAACUGGCUUUCUAGCAAAAAGGUACAUGGUUGAAAAAGUUUCUAGGCAGAAACGAUAUAUUCUUACAAUUAAAGAUGUGAUUCCAGAUGACGCCGCUACUUACUACUGCGCUUACUGGGACGCUCACCAUGACAGAAACUCAAAGAUCAUCACAGCAAAAAGCCCUCAACAGCUGAAGUACAGGUGUCACGAAAUGAGGGGUUUAUGGUUGCUCAAAGAAUCACCAUCAAAGGUAUCAGCAAAAGCAGUUCUACUGUGCAUUUAUAAAGUGUGACUUCACAGUCUGAUGGCAAGGUUCACUCAAUUACUUGCCUCAUGGCUGAAACGUGCAAAGGAAGAUUGAGGUAAAAGCAAGCUGAAAGGAUUAAUACGAGACCAAAGGCACAAAAGGGUAAGGGAGACAAUAGGACUGACAGCAUUUCCUAUAUCAAUUUAUACUCACACGCACACACAUGGAUAUAUAAAGGUGCCUGUUAACAAGUCCCCUGGGGCUCAGGGAAAUGUUCCUGUCAGAUGUCUUGGCAUUUCUCAGCAGGU
Molecule: non-coding RNA, 1476 nt
Organism: Pezoporus flaviventris
Lineage: Eukaryota; Metazoa; Chordata; Aves; Psittaciformes; Psittacidae
Source: the annotation of a RefSeq genome assembly